UACGUAGGGUGCGAGCGUUAAUCGGAAUUACUGGGCGUAGAGCGUGCGCAGGCGGCUUUGCAAGACAGAUGUGAAAUCCCCGGGCUCAACCUGGGAACUGCAUUUGUAACUGCAAGGCUAGAGUACGGCAGAGGGGGAUGGAAUUCCGCGUGUAGCAGUGAAAUGCGUAGAUAUGCGGAGGAACACCGAUGGCGAAGGCGAUCCCCUGGACCAGCACUGACGCUCAUGCACGAAAGCGUGGGGAGCAAACAGG
RNAcentral lists this ribosomal RNA (253 nucleotides) under uncultured bacterium. Its description in RNAcentral is "partial 16S ribosomal RNA". It matches the Rfam family "Bacterial small subunit ribosomal RNA", at positions 524 to 776 of the family's 1533-position model. The record is from RNAcentral.